CCUUUCCUUCUCCUUUAAGGUCAGUCUAUGUACAGUCCAUCUUUAGCCUCCCCAAACAAAAAAGUCACCCUCUACCUAUGAUAUUGUCAGUGAAUAUUGUGCAAUUUUUCUGUUAUUAUUAUCUUUAUAUACUCAUUCAUUUUUUUUAGAUUGUGGCAUCAAAUAAGCUAAUUAUGUUGAUUGAGAAUCACCCAGAAUCACAAAGAACAAACAUGAUCAGACUAACCUGUGUGUUGGGACAACUACAUGGUGUAGAUCCAGGAAUUGCAUGCAGCUAUCAAAUGUCAACAAGAUGGUUGCAUCUGCCAUAGCAGAAAAUGUAUGAGAAAAUGUCUAAAAAAAAAAAAAACCUAUCUUGAAUUUUUGCUGACCUUUUGGAACCUGCAAGGCCCCACAAAUGAAAUUAGCAGCAAAAACAGGUAAGUUCAAAUUAAUUCUAUAGCUACUCUAAUAUUUAAAAUGGUAAUUAGAUAAAGGAUAAAGGAUGAUUUUUCAUUGCUGGUUGUUUUUUUUUAAAUAAAUAAAACACCACACAAACA
Long non-coding RNA from Xenopus tropicalis (tropical clawed frog), 539 nucleotides. RefSeq lists it as uncharacterized. The transcript has 2 exons. Lineage: Eukaryota; Metazoa; Chordata; Amphibia; Anura; Pipidae. The record is from RefSeq and is a predicted model, not a curated record.